This 128-nucleotide microRNA precursor is filed under the name Puccinia graminis f. sp. tritici CRL 75-36-700-3. RNAcentral's name for it is "microRNA MIR807". The record is from RNAcentral. Lineage: Eukaryota; Fungi; Basidiomycota; Pucciniomycetes; Pucciniales; Pucciniaceae.
AACAACCUCAUCGAUUGGAAGGAAUGCCUUCCAAUUGAUGAGGUUGCUACCCUCAUUGACUUCCAAUCAAUGAGGUUUAUAACAACCUCAUCAAUUGGAAGGAAUGCCUUCCGAUUGAUGAGGUUGUU